AUUGAACGCUGGCGGCAUGCUUUACACAUGCAAGUCGAACGGUAACAGGUCUUCGGAUGCUGACGAGUGGCGAACGGGUGAGUAAUGCAUCGGAACGUGCCCAGUCGUGGGGGAGUAACGCAGCGAAAGACUGCGCUAAUACCGCAUACGAUCUAUGGAUGAAAGACGGGGGACGUCGCAAGAGCCUCGCGCGAUUGGAGCGGCCGAUGUCAGAUUAGGUAGUUGGUGGGGUAAAGGACUCACCAAGCCAACGAUCUGUAGCUGGUCUGAGAGGACGACCAGCCACACUGGAACUGAGACACGGUCCAGACUCCUACGGGAGGCAGCAGUGGGGAAG
RNAcentral lists this ribosomal RNA (337 nucleotides) under uncultured bacterium. RNAcentral's name for it is "bacterial SSU rRNA". It matches the Rfam family "Bacterial small subunit ribosomal RNA", at positions 30 to 362 of the family's 1533-position model. The record is from RNAcentral.